This is a long non-coding RNA of Raphanus sativus (radish), 1883 nucleotides long. RefSeq lists it as uncharacterized. The transcript has 7 exons. The record is from RefSeq and is a predicted model, not a curated record. NCBI's taxonomy places the organism in Eukaryota, Viridiplantae, Streptophyta, Magnoliopsida, Brassicales, Brassicaceae.
UCUGAACUAUGCCACAUCAGAUGAAAAAAUCAACCAAUCAGGUUUUAAUUGUUUGCCAGAUCAGCUCUACCCACUAAACGUCGCGUUUCCACUAGCGGUGUCUCUGACUCUCGCGUCUCCACUCUUCUUCCAUCUUCUGCUCUUUUGUCUUCCUUUUUUCUUCCGGUGCGAGAACCAAUACACCUUCAUAAAGCUCUUCUUAAUCAAUUACACACGAUCCCAUUCAAUGCGACCUUCGGUGGACGCUCUGCUAUAAAAAAAGUGAUCUCUAUGCAUUUCUUCUUUACAAAAUGCCUUUCUUCUUUACACACAGUUUCCGAAUUGAAGCCGGAACGUUGUUGUCAAGUCGUUGUCACACGCUUUCUCCAAUUUUCUGAAGCUAGGACACAGGACUCUCAUGAUCCUCUUGGAUGACAAGGUAGUAUCUUCUCUGAUCAUUUUCUGUGAUUAUUAUUACUUCGUUUCGUGCUCCUCUUUAAACAUUUCCUCCUCAUAUUUCCGUUCAUAUAAAGCAGUUUUUCCUUUUUUUUUCUUAAUCUUCCUAAAACUUCCGUAAAACGUUGAGUCGUCACUGUAGAGUGUCGCAUCUUCUUCGAACGGGAAGAGGGUUUUGCGGCUUAGUUUGUCAAACUCUCAUCGUCACUGAGAAGGAAUAUGACAGAGGAGAGAGAGAUGAAAAGAGGUCGGUGAUUGCUUCUCUGAUGGUCGUAAAAGAUGCACUUGAAUCACUCCGAAAUCUGGUACUAUUUCUCUUUCACUCUUCCGAAAUUGAAGUUGAUGAUUGGCAACUGAAAGUGUCAGUUUCCUCCUUAUGAUUCUGAGCUUGAGUAGUUUAAAAGAUCUGAUAUUAGGCUUGGAAGUAAGUAUUUGAAUGUAGAGCUCAAAUCUUGAGUAUUUCUUUGUGAUUUCUACUGUACAAUUGACCACAUAAACAAAAUCCGGUUCUUCAUCAUUCCCUUAAUUUGAUGGGCUUAGUCCUUAACUUUAUCUUGCCUUGAAUCUUUUCACCGGAUGGAGUUUUUUUUUGUUUCACGUUAAAGACCUAUCUUGCAUUGCUUUCCAUGAUGAAGAAUGGGGAGUUCCUGUCCAUGGUGACAAAUAAAAAUGUCCAGUUGCCAGGUACAUAUUCCAAAUUUUGCAUUAUCCAAACAUCUCGUAGAAGCCUCUUUUUCUCUUUCGGGCAUCAUUAGUCAGGUUGGCCACAAUCAGGACAACCUACAAUGACCACACCAGAUAACCCACCGGUUAUGGUUAACAUCCGUAUUGCUCACAGAUUUCACGCACACUGAACCACUGCUUUCUAUGAGCAAGAAAGCUUCUGCCUGCAGCAGAGACAAUCCAAACUCCAGUUCGGAGAGGAUUAGAAGUUUAGAACAAAAGGUCGUGAUAAAAACUUUCAAAGGCGGCCAUGGUCAAUGCAUGAAUAUCUAACACCACCACCAUACACCACUAUUACUGCCUGCAACGUGACUUGAAACUGUUACAGUUGCACAACCUUUGGGAAAAGCUGUGCGGGGAGUUCGUUAUCAUAUCCCUGCAGCAAAAAGAGGUCAAACAAAACCCUCCUAAACCAACUUGAACUCCCUAUUAAUUCUGCUUAAGCAAAUCAGUCCAAAGACGGCACAACCUCCGUUGGUUGCUGAUAAAUACAACACUGGAACCUCCACUGCAAAUAUGAAGCUGGUGAAAACAAAGGUCCAUGUCUUUGUCCUUAUGUUUUCUUCCAACAAAUUUCAGUUAGUUCAAGAUUAUGUCACAUUUAUCUCCUCCUUUGCAGCAACUGCAAAGAAACUCUAUAUUAUAACAUACAAGAUUACUACGAAAUUUGUGUAUAUUCUGUAUUGAGAUGUAUUGUUCAUUUGUAUAUAGAUCAUGUUAAAUUU